RNAcentral lists this ribosomal RNA (1404 nucleotides) under Escherichia coli. RNAcentral describes it as "partial 23S ribosomal RNA". It matches the Rfam family "Bacterial large subunit ribosomal RNA", at positions 1559 to 2925 of the family's 2925-position model. Lineage: Bacteria; Pseudomonadati; Pseudomonadota; Gammaproteobacteria; Enterobacterales; Enterobacteriaceae. The record is from RNAcentral.
AGGCGUGAUGACGAGGCACUACGGUGCUGAAGCAACAAAUGCCCUGCUUCCAGGAAAAGCCUCUAAGCAUCAGGUAACAUCAAAUCGUACCCCAAACCGACACAGGUGGUCAGGUAGAGAAUACCAAGGCGCUUGAGAGAACUCGGGUGAAGGAACUAGGCAAAAUGGUGCCGUAACUUCGGGAGAAGGCACGCUGAUAUGUAGGUGAAGCGACUUGCUCGUGGAGCUGAAAUCAGUCGAAGAUACCAGCUGGCUGCAACUGUUUAUUAAAAACACAGCACUGUGCAAACACGAAAGUGGACGUAUACGGUGUGACGCCUGCCCGGUGCCGGAAGGUUAAUUGAUGGGGUUAGCGGUAACGCGAAGCUCUUGAUCGAAGCCCCGGUAAACGGCGGCCGUAACUAUAACGGUCCUAAGGUAGCGAAAUUCCUUGUCGGGUAAGUUCCGACCUGCACGAAUGGCGUAAUGAUGGCCAGGCUGUCUCCACCCGAGACUCAGUGAAAUUGAACUCGCUGUGAAGAUGCAGUGUACCCGCGGCAAGACGGAAAGACCCCGUGAACCUUUACUAUAGCUUGACACUGAACAUUGAGCCUUGAUGUGUAGGAUAGGUGGGAGGCUUUGAAGUGUGGACGCCAGUCUGCAUGGAGCCGACCUUGAAAUACCACCCUUUAAUGUUUGAUGUUCUAACGUUGGCCCCUAAUCGGGGUUGCGGACAGUGUCUGGUGGGUAGUUUGACUGGGGCGGUCUCCUCCUAAAGAGUAACGGAGGAGCACGAAGGUUGGCUAAUCCUGGUCGGACAUCAGGAGGUUAGUGCAAUGGCAUAAGCCAGCUUGACUGCGAGCGUGACGGCGCGAGCAGGUGCGAAAGCAGGUCAUAGUGAUCCGGUGGUUCUGAAUGGAAGGGCCAUCGCUCAACGGAUAAAAGGUACUCCGGGGAUAACAGGCUGAUACCGCCCAAGAGUUCAUAUCGACGGCGGUGUUUGGCACCUCGAUGUCGGCUCAUCACAUCCUGGGGCUGAAGUAGGUCCCAAGGGUAUGGCUGUUCGCCAUUUAAAGUGGUACGCGAGCUGGGUUUAGAACGUCGUGAGACAGUUCGGUCCCUAUCUGCCGUGGGCGCUGGAGAACUGAGGGGGGCUGCUCCUAGUACGAGAGGACCGGAGUGGACGCAUCACUGGUGUUCGGGUUGUCAUGCCAAUGGCACUGCCCGGUAGCUAAAUGCGGAAGAGAUAAGUGCUGAAAGCAUCUAAGCACGAAACUUGCCCCGAGAUGAGUUCUCCCUGACUCCUUGAGAGUCCUGAAGGAACGUUGAAGACGACGACGUUGAUAGGCCGGGUGUGUAAGCGCAGCGAUGCGUUGAGCUAACCGGUACUAAUGAACCGUGAGGCUUAACCUUACAACGCCGAAG